GCCACAUUUUUCAACACGCACGCAUCCACGCACGCACACGGAAGAGAAGUUCAACUUCAAAGGCGAACGUUCCAGCCAGGUUGCCUCUGCAGGGGCGGUCGGAUCACAGCCCAACCAAAUGAUCAAAGUUAUUCCCACUUCCAGAUUUCAAUGACUUCUACGAAAUUGGAUAUGUUCCUCGGAGAUCCGUCAUAAACCGGGUGCAACUGCAAGAAACGCCACAGUGUGCGGAACACGAGUGCUCCAAACUCCAUGUGAUCCUCAUGUGAAGUCGGUCAACUUGAGCGACGGCGUGCACAGUUCACCCACACCGUCCCACUAAUCUUCUCUCCCGUGUCCGUGACUCCGUGUGACGCUGCUUGCACACUAAGGGGGUUCUCAUUUACUUACUCCCGCUACCUGCUCAUUCGGCAUGCUGCCUUCAGGGCCACUUCGUCAUCGGCGAGGAUUUGUCGGGACAUAAAAAAGAGCGGCAAUAUGAACCGAUUGUUAGAUUGGAAUUAAACACGAAAUUAAAUAUACUUGCGUUAUAUGCUA
Molecule: long non-coding RNA, 537 nt
Organism: Syngnathus acus (greater pipefish)
Lineage: Eukaryota; Metazoa; Chordata; Actinopteri; Syngnathiformes; Syngnathidae
Exons: 2
Source: RefSeq, a predicted model, not a curated record